AUCACUUCUCAGCCUUUUGGCUAAGAUAAAAGUGUAGUAUCUGUUCUUAACAGUUUAAGUGUACAAUUCUAUGAUACAUCAUCUGUAUAUCACAUUGUGUGUUCACCAUCCAGAGUCAGUUCUCCUUCUAUAUAUUUCACCCCCU
This 145-nucleotide small nuclear RNA is filed under the name Rhinolophus ferrumequinum (greater horseshoe bat). RNAcentral describes it as "U2 spliceosomal RNA (ENSRFEG00010002761.1)". The stretch from base 1 to 111 matches the Rfam family "U2 spliceosomal RNA". From Rfam's summary of the family: U2 is a small nuclear RNA (snRNA) component of the spliceosome (involved in pre-mRNA splicing). Complementary binding between U2 snRNA (in an area lying towards the 5' end but 3' to hairpin I) and the branchpoint sequence (BPS) of the intron results the bulging out of an unpaired adenosine, on the BPS, which initiates a nucleophilic attack at the intronic 5' splice site, thus starting the first of two transesterification reactions that mediate splicing. Lineage: Eukaryota; Metazoa; Chordata; Mammalia; Chiroptera; Rhinolophidae. The record is from RNAcentral.